Molecule: ribosomal RNA, 362 nt
Filed under: uncultured fungus
Lineage: Eukaryota; Fungi
Description: eukaryotic LSU rRNA
Rfam family: Eukaryotic large subunit ribosomal RNA
Source: RNAcentral
AUAUCAAUAAGCGGAGGAAGAGAAACCAACAGGGAUUGCCUCAGUAACGGCGAGUGAAGCGGCAACAGCUCAAAUUUGAAAGCUGGCUCCUUCGGGGCCCGCAUUGUAAUUUGUAGAGGAUGCUUCGGGCGCGGCGCCGGUCUAAGUUCUUUGGAACAAGACGUCAUAGAGGGUGAGAAUCCCGUAUGUGACUGGUUGCCUGUGCCCAUGUGAAGCUCCUUCGACGAGUCGAGUAGUUUGGGAAUGCUGCUCUAAAUGGGAGGUGUAUCUCUUCUAAAGCUAAAUAUUGGCCAGAGACCGAUAGCGCACAAGUAGAGUGAUCGAAAGAUGAAAAGCACUUUGGAAAGAGAGUUAAACAGUAC